Molecule: ribosomal RNA, 481 nt
Filed under: uncultured bacterium
Lineage: Bacteria
Description: bacterial SSU rRNA
Rfam family: Bacterial small subunit ribosomal RNA
Source: RNAcentral
UACGAUGUCUAGGGGUUCUGAGAGGAAGGUCCCCCACACUGGUACUGAGACACGGACCAGACUCCUACGGGAGGCAGCAGUGAGGAAUAUUGGUCAAUGGGCGGGAGCCUGAACCAGCCAUGUCGCGUGCAGGAAGACGGCCCUACGGGUUGUAAACUGCUUUUGUACGGGAAGAACCGUGCCCACGCGUGGGCGCUUGCCGGUACCGUACGAAUAAGGAUCGGCUAACUCCGUGCCAGCAGCCGCGGUAAUACGGAGGAUCCGAGCGUUAUCCGGAUUUAUUGGGUUUAAAGGGUGCGUAGGCGGGCUCAUAAGUCAGCGGUGAAAUUUUGCGGCUCAACCGUAACACUGCCGUUGAAACUGUUUGCCUUGAGUUUAGUUGAAGUGGGCGGAAUGUGUUGUGUAGCGGUGAAAUGCUUAGAUAUAACACGGAACACCGAUUGCGAAGGCAGCCCACUAAGCUAUUAUUGACGCUGAUGCA